This is a non-coding RNA of Gorilla gorilla gorilla (western lowland gorilla), 117 nucleotides long. It matches the Rfam family "Metazoan signal recognition particle RNA". Rfam says of the family: The signal recognition particle (SRP) is a universally conserved ribonucleoprotein. It is involved in the co-translational targeting of proteins to membranes. NCBI's taxonomy places the organism in Eukaryota, Metazoa, Chordata, Mammalia, Primates, Hominidae. The record is from Rfam.
GCCAGGCGUGGCGGCUCACGCCUGUAAUCCCAGCACUUUGGGAGGCCGAGGCGGGUGGAUCACCUGAGGUCAGGAGUUCAAGACCAGCCUGGCCAACAUGGUGAAACCCUGUCUCUA